GAGGGUAUAGCUCAGUGGUAGCGCGCACGCUCAGCACACGUGAGGUCCUGGGUUCAAUCCUCGGUACUUUCA
RNAcentral lists this transfer RNA (72 nucleotides) under Camelus bactrianus (Bactrian camel). It matches the Rfam family "tRNA". From Rfam's summary of the family: Transfer RNA (tRNA) molecules are approximately 80 nucleotides in length. Their secondary structure includes four short double-helical elements and three loops (D, anti-codon, and T loops). The record is from Rfam by way of RNAcentral. Lineage: Eukaryota; Metazoa; Chordata; Mammalia; Artiodactyla; Camelidae. RNAcentral also lists the same sequence under 1 other name.